RNAcentral lists this ribosomal RNA (1470 nucleotides) under uncultured Bordetella sp. RNAcentral's name for it is "partial 16S-23S ribosomal RNA intergenic spacer". It matches the Rfam family "Bacterial small subunit ribosomal RNA". Lineage: Bacteria; Pseudomonadati; Pseudomonadota; Betaproteobacteria; Burkholderiales; Alcaligenaceae. The record is from RNAcentral.
AGUUUGAUUAUGGCUCAGAUUGAACGCUGGCGGGAUGCUUUACACAUGCAAGUCGAACGGCAGCACGGACUUCUUCGGUCUGGUGGCGAGUGGCGAACGGGUGAGUAAUGUAUCGGAACGCCUAGUAGCGGGGAUAACUACGCGAAAGCGUAGCUACUACCGUACAGCCCUUCGGGGAAAGUGGGGACCUUCGGGCCUCUCGCACUAUUAGAGCGGCCGAUAUCGGAUUAGCUAGUUGGUGGGGUAACGGCUCACCAAGGCGACGAUCCGUAGCUGGUUUGAGAGGACGACCAGCCACACUGGGACUGAGACAUCACCAGACUCCUACGGGAGGCAGCAGUGGGGAAUUUUGACAAUGGGGAAACCCUGAUCCAGCCAUCCCGCGUGUGCGAUGAAGGCCUUCGGGUUGUAAAGCACUUUUGGCAGGAAAGAAACGGCACGGGAUAAUACCCCGUGCAACUGACGGUACCUGCAGAAUAAGCACCGGCUAAUCCACGUGCCAGCAGCCGCGGUAAUACGUAGGGUGCAAGCGUUAAUCGGAAUUACUGGGCGUAAAGCGUGCGCAGGCGGUUCGGAAAGAAAGAUGAAAUCCCAGAGCUUAACUUUGAACUGCAUUUUUAACUACCGAGCUAGAGUGUGUCAGGGGAGGGGAGGUGGAAUUCCGCGUGUAGCAGAAAUGCGUAGAUAUGCGGAGGAACACCGAUGGCGAAGGCAGCCUCCCUGGGAUAACACUGACGCUCAUGCACGAAAGCGUGGGGAGCAAACAGGAUUAGAUACCCCGUAGUCCACGCCCUAAACGAUGUCAACCAGCUGUUGGGGCCUUCGGGCCUUGGUAGCGCAGCUAACGCGUGAAGUUGACCGCCUGGGGAGUACGGUCGCAAGAUUAAACUCAAAGGAAUUGACGGGGACCCGCACAAGCGGUGGAUGAUGUGAUUAAUUCGAUGCAACGCGAAAAACCUUACCUACCCUUGACAUGUUCAAACUCGAAGAGAUUUGGGAGUGCUCGCAAGAGAACCGGAACACAGGUGCUGCAUGGCUGUCGUCAGCUCGUGUCGUGAGAUGUUGGGUUGCGUCCCGCAACGAGCGCAACCCUUGUCAUUAUUGCUACGAAAGGGCACUCCACGAGACUGCCGGUGACAAACCGAGGAAGGUGGAUUAUCAAGUCCUCAUGGGUUCUCAUGGGUAGGCCACACGUUUGGCACAAUGGCCGGGACAGAGGGUCGCCAACCCGCGAGGGGGAGCCAAUCCCAGAAACCCGAUCAGUCCGGAUCGCAGUCUGCAACUCGACUGCGUGAAGUCGGAAUCGCUAGUAAUCGCGGAUCAGCAUGUCGCGGUGAAUACGUUCCGGGUCUUGUACACACCGCCCGUCACACCAUGGGAGUGGGUUUUACCAGAAGUAGUUAGCCUAACCGUAAGGAGGGCGAUUACCACGGUAGGAUUCAUGACUGGGGUGAAGUCGUAACAAGGUAG